RNAcentral lists this ribosomal RNA (501 nucleotides) under uncultured Glomeromycotina. RNAcentral describes it as "SSU rRNA". It matches the Rfam family "Eukaryotic small subunit ribosomal RNA", at positions 591 to 1097 of the family's 1831-position model. Lineage: Eukaryota; Fungi; Glomeromycota. The record is from RNAcentral.
CCAAUAGCGUAUAUUAAAGUUGUUGCAGUUAAAAGCUCGUAGUUGAAUUUCGAGACCGGCUUACUGGUCGUGCUUUUGUGCGUACUGGUAUAAUCGGUUUCUCCUUUCUGACGAACUUUAAUGCCAUUAAUUUGGUGUUUUAGGGAAUCAGGACUGUUACUUUGAAAAAUUAGAGUGUUUAAAGCAGGCUCACGCUUGAAUACAUUAGCAUGGAAUAACGGAAUAGGACGUUUGAUUCUAUUUUGUUGGUUUCUAGGAUCGACGUAAUGAUUAAUAGGGAUAGUUGGGGGCAUUAGUAUUCAAUUGUCAGAGGUGAAAUUCUUGGAUUUAUUGAAGACUAACUACUGCGAAAGCAUUUGCCAAGGAUGUUUUCAUUAAUCAAGAACGAAAGUUAGGGGAUCGAAGACGAUCAGAUACCGUCGUAGUCUUAACCAUAAACUAUGCCGACUAGGGAUCGGAUGAUGUUAAUUUUUAAUGACUCAUUCGGCGCCUUACGGGAAA